UGUGUAUAGGCAUGUAUGUGUGCUUGCACAUGUGUGUGUGUAUAUAUACAUAAACAUACAUCCAAAAAUAUAUACUACAUCCCUAAAUCA
Molecule: microRNA precursor, 90 nt
Filed under: Loxodonta africana (African savanna elephant)
Lineage: Eukaryota; Metazoa; Chordata; Mammalia; Proboscidea; Elephantidae
Description: miRNA (ENSLAFG00000033000.1)
Source: RNAcentral